GUGCUUGAUUCAGCAGCACCUAUACUAAAAUAGGAAUGAUACAGAAAAGAUUAACAUGGCCUCUGCACAAGGAUGACCUGUGAUUUAGUCUGGUUUUUCAUUGCUAU
Molecule: small nuclear RNA, 107 nt
Organism: Ictidomys tridecemlineatus (thirteen-lined ground squirrel)
Lineage: Eukaryota; Metazoa; Chordata; Mammalia; Rodentia; Sciuridae
Source: Ensembl